CAGGUCAUGUUAUCCCUGGAGUAGAAAACCCAGAGACGGCUACUUUCCAGGGUCCUGCAUCUGGGGUGCAAGUGAGGCACACGCAGAUGAGACUCCACCUGCCCUGGGCAGCUUUCCUGAGCCUUGAGAAACCAGCUCACCAUGAAUCCAAGGUGUCUGCUGUUCCUUGCCACCAUUUCAUGGAACCUGUUGUAUGUGUAUUUCCAGCUCUGAAAAGCCUGUUUUACUUCAUUCUCUUACCAAAGAGUUUGGUGACACAAAAUGAAAAGUUUGAUGGACAAUCUGGAAGAGUCCCACUAAGCAACACAAGAAAUACGCUCUCACAAAGACCUAUUCAUGUUUUCCAUGUUUCAAAUAUGACUGAACCUGACAUAUAUAAGAACGCAAAAGAUUCUUCAAAAUCAAACUGUGUCCGGAAUUGGUGGGUUCUUGGUCUCACUGACUUCAAGAAUGAAGCCACGGACCCUGGCGGUUGCUAGUAACACAAUAAUAAAGCUGCUUUAUUUUCCAGUGAAGAUGUAUGUGAUAGGGAGUGGAGGAAGAAAAAGGCCAGAAAAUUCCAUAGUUAGCAAAUAUACCUUUCUUACUUAAAAUUCUUUUUCCAAUGUGAGCCUUCUAAAGAGUUACUGAGAAAUUAGGUGAGCUCACCUCAUUUAAUGCAAUAGAUAUGUUUCUGAAAAAUAAGCAAUACAUAGGACAUUGGCCAAUUAAGAAUUCUGAUGAAGAAGAAUUUUCACAUCCGAAAGAGUAAAAAUGAAAAACGGUACAAAUGUAGUGGCUUUUAAAUUUCAAAACAAAUUAUUUUGAUAAGAUAAAUAUUCCUCUCAUAAAGUGAAAAUGGAAGAGACUGCUUGCUGGGUGUUCGUCAAAAUGGAGUUAGAUGGUCUGUCCCAGACUCCCCUGUUGUUAGUUCUGAGAACAGAAGUAAUGGUGCUUCUUCAGGACUGGCUCAUAGAAACCUGCCGUGUUCAGCCCCCACAAUCCUCUCCCUUCUGCUGGCUGGAAACAAAUGACAACGAAGCCUCACGUCUUGGAGAAACCACACUGCUGAGGAACUCAAGUCCUAGAAGAACCAUUUGAAGAGACCCAUCUCACUAAAGAAAAUCACACAAGCAAGAAGUAAACUUCAUUGUAUCUAUGUAUUUAAUUGUCAUAACAGUCUACCUUAACUGAUACAGCAAAAAUUCGCUCCUUUUCUGGACACCCAGUUUCAAAAUCUCAGUGUCAUUUUUUACUUCUCUCUUUUCAGGUUGUUUAAUAUAAUAAAAUUUGUGUGUGUGUGUGUGUGUGUGUGACAAGGUCUUGCUCUGUUGCCCAGGCUGGAGUGCAAUGGCACGCUCCCAGCCCACUACAGCCUUGACCUCCAAGCUCAAGUGUUCCUCCCACCUCAGCCUCCAGAGUAACUGGGACUACAGGCAUGGGCCACCACACCCGGCUAAUUUUUGUACUUUUUGUAGAGACAGGGUUUCACCAUGUUGCCCAGGCUGGUCUUGAACCCCUGGGCUCAAGCGAUCUGCCCAUCUCCACCUCCCAAAAUUCUAGGAUUACAGGCGUGAGCCACUACACCCAACCAUUUUAUUUUUAAAAGUUUUCUUUGCAAUAUUGCUCACAUUGUUUCCUUCCUUUUUAUUCUUAUUGUCACUCCCAAGUUCAGGCUUUUACCUCUUUUAUUUGAAGUAUUAAAGUAUACUUCUAAGUCAUUUCUGUGGCUUAAAUUUAUUUAAUCCACUCCAUCCUGCAUCCUACCAACACAAUAACAUUGUUUCAUCAUUUCAAAUUGAAAUCGAAACUCUCCAAAGCUUUCCUACUGCUGAAUGGAUAAAAACACAAAAUCCUCAAUAGAGAAUUCACUUUCUGGAGCCAACUUACCUUUCCAAAUAUUUCCCAUUAUUCCCUAAGAGAAUCCUCCUGACAUACUCACUGUUUUUCAUAUACACUAGACCUUUUCUCAACCACCUAUUUGUCCACACAUUUUUCUUCCAGCUAGAAUAUUAUUUUCCCUUUCUCACUUCUGAAAGUCUUACCUGUCAUUCAUGGUUCAUCUCAAGCUCAAUCUUCUCCUUGAAACCUUUAAGCAUACCCUCCUGGAAAGUUAUCUCCCUCACCUCGAACCACCCCCCCAGCCCCUGCCAGAAUCUCCUAUAGGGCUGAUUGUUUAUCCUGCUUAUUAUAUAUUUAUAAAACACUCCACUGAGUUAUUAAUUACCUUUUCCUUGACUGUGAAAACAUGACUCUGGCUUCAAGGUAGGACCAUUUUUUCUCUAACACUGUGUCUCAUACACUUCAGCACAAGCUCUUAGUGGCCUGUGCAUUCAACUCCCAUGCAUAGCCACUUCCUCCAGGCAAACCCCACAGCCAGCAUCCAAAUUUUAAAAGGGGUUCUGUCAUCAACCCAAAGUUUCUUCUCUCUCAAGGAACCUAGAUUUAGAAGUUGAGUCUAGGCCACCUGUCUAAGAUACAGUAGUUAAUUUAACAUAUUUUAUUGCUCUCAACAUCACAGAGAAAGAGCCUUACUGCAGAUCUCAUUCUUUCCUUCAAAGCCAGUUUGCCCAUUCCUCUUCAGAAACCUUUAAGAGUGGUUAUUGGGAGAGAUGAUAAGACUCCAUCUGCUUAAGGAGUCCCUCUAACCCAGAAUAGUAGAUGUAAACACCUGACAUGUUGUUAUAGAGUGAAUGUUUGUGUUCCCCUCCAAUCCAUAUGUUGAAAUUCCAAGCCCCAAUGUGUUCGCAUUGGGAGGUGAGGCCUUUGGGAGGUAAAUAGAUCAUGAAGGUGAAGUCUUCAUGAAUGGAUUAGUGUCCUUAUAAAAGAGACCCCAGAGAGCUCUCUCAUCCUGUUUCUGCCAUGUGAGGACACAGCAAGAAGUUGGUCAUCUGCAACCUGAAGUGGCUCCUCCCCAGAAACUGAAUCUGCUGGGGUCUUAAUGGUGGGCUUCCCAGCCUCCAGAAUUAUGAGUGUAAAUGUUUGUUGUUUAAGCUACCCAGUCUAGGGUAGUUUGCUAUACUACCCCAAACUGACUAAGAUACAUAUGUUUGUCAUCCACUCAGUUGUUUUCCUAAAAUAAAUGAAGUCAGCUCCAAAGAUGAAUUUUCAUCUCUUUUUGUAGAGAUGGGUGCUAUUAUGCUUUUUAAUGAACGUUUAUUCACAAAUAAAAACAAAACAUACCUCUCACAUCCUCAGAGCAAAUACUUACAGUAACAUACAUUGAUGCUCACAAGCUCAUUACAUUUCAUGUUUACUAUUCAUUGAUAACAUUACAUUUAUUAUUAUCACAUAAACCAUACCUCCUGUUUAUGAAGCACUUAUGGUGUUUUAGUCAAUGUUAUGGUACCUGCUAUAUAUGGUCUCUAAUUUUAUUUUAACUUCCUAUAGUAAACAAUAUUAGGUGCUAACUCAAUAGUCAUUUUCUAACCUGAUUUUUCCUUGCAAACAGAACCCCAAAUUUGUUUGGAGAGAAAUGUGUCCAAAUCCAAACAAAGCAUCACCAUUUCUUUGAACCAUCAUAAGGAUCUAAUCAUUUUUUUUGUUUUCCUAGCCUCCCUCUAGCCAGAGAUACUGGGUAACACAGUUCUGGCUGAGAAGACAAGAGAAGAAAUCUGCUAAGCAUUUCUGGAAAAAGUUUUGAUUUGCUGAUGAAAGGGAACAGACAUACUGGUUGCCUUCCUUUUCCCUUUCAGCUGCCUAGUCGCCAUUUUGCAAUGUGAAACAACAUCAUUAAGGAAAGAUCAAAACAAUUGCAGAGAUGUCAACCAUCAUGCCUUUGAAUUCAUGCUCACAGUUGUCUGCCUCCAGAUUCAGUUAUAUUUGAGGUACUCUUUGAGUUAAGAUCCUUCUCAUUUUAUACCACUUGCAGCUGAACACACUCCCCACUAAUUUACCUUGUAAGGUGAAUUUCACUUAAAGGAAGAACACAUAAGUCAGGGAAUGACACAUAAUAGUAAAUGCAGGGUUUUUUUUUCUAUUUAUGAUAUAGAUUUAUACAACUGCUAUGUUCUUGACAUUGUACCAAUUUCAAGGUACAAAUAAGACAUAAUCCCUAAAAGCAUGGGUUACAAAAUCUGGGUUCAGCAUAGGGUUUCAUGAUAAACAAACAAACACAAAUUGUUUUUUAUUGUAUUUCCUUCUUCUUCACAUCUUGUGAAUCUAAGAAAAAUAUCAGAAUGUUCGUUUCAGCUCAAUUUUUGAAGAGUACAAUCUCUAAGUAAAAAGAAACUGUAAAUGUUUAUAAAUGUAACUAGAGCCUAGUAGAAAAUAAAGCCAUGCAAGUGUGUUUAGGUCCUAAUCUUAUUAACCAGAUUAGUGACACACAGUCUGCCCAAAGUUAAUGAAAGCAGUGAGGUUCUUUGACUUCAGUAGAUACACACCUGAACCACAGAGAUAAACUUGCUUCAAACCUGUGCGAUAUGUUUUUCUAAGCAUAAAAUUGAGCAUGAUAGCUCCAAUUUCAGUCUCAGUUUCAAAGCUUCCCUUUCCCGAAUAAGAGGCAAACUGUCACAUUAAAUUUAGCGAAUUAAAAUCAGUUAACUUGAAAAGCUCUUGGCCCCAAUGCAGAGAAAAUUGUUUGCAUAAUAAUAACUUAUUUCCUUUUUUAAAAGGCGGACUUCUGCCUGAAUGCUUCUAUAAACUUUUAAGAAAAUGGGAUUCUCAAAUCUCAAGCGUAUUGGGUUGCAGUUGGCACUUGAAGCUGGGGACAUGCAGAGCUGGCUAAUGUCAGCAGCUGUAGGACUGUCAAGAAAAAUAGGUGGAAGGGACACUUUUAUUAUAAGUAGACUUGCAAGGCAUUCCAACUUUCAGCUGCUCAACCCAGUAUACCAAACACCUCUGACUACCUCAAGUGUGGCCUUGCUGAGUGCUUCCAUAUUUAGGGGUUAUUAGACAGGACUGAAGCAAGUGACCUCUAAUGAGGAAGCAAUCAGGGCAGGCUCUGACCCUCCUCAGAGGUACUGUAAUGAACUGGCCUUGGAAGGUCUUUGAUGCUGCCUUUGCAUACUGUAUAUGAGCUUUCUGCUCAGUCAUUUCCUCUGCGCUCUGGUAGCACAGCAUGAAGCCUGCUAUUAGAAAAAAGGUUUAUUGCUACCUUGCAAACAUUUAUUGGGUAAUAUCUAAAACAUGGUGUCAAGUUAUAGUAAUGCGCUGUUCUGGGAAACUUUUUGAGAAUUUUAGUGUUUCAGAAGAUGGUCCUUUGAGAAUUCUUCUGUUUCAGAAAUGAAAAGUGGUAGAUAUAUACGUGUGUGUGUAUAAUAUGCUCAUGUAUCCUCUGAUUACUUGCCAGAGAUGUACCAUUUUUCUUUCAAGGGAAACAUCUAUUCCUAAGAUAGAUUAUUCUUGAAAUUUUCAAAGAGUAUGCCUCAGAGAACAAAUAUACAAAUUUACCAUUUGUCUGCAGAUAUUAUUUGCCUGUGUUUAUGCUAGGUCACUGACACCACACACAUUUUAAUCCCCAAGGGAAUUUAUUUGGUGGUGUUAUCUACUCAACCAAGCUGAAGCUUAUCUAGUUCACAAGAAAAUAGUCAAUAUGAGCUCCAUGCAGACUUAUGCUGUUAAUGCAGAAGAGGGAAAGAGAAUUUACCUUUAACUGUUAUGAUGAAAAUGUGUACAAUGACACUUAACUAUGGCAUGCAAAUCCUCUUUUCCUCCCCCACAGGUAUCUGGAAAGUACCUUAUACAGCUAGGUGCUUAGAAAAUGUUUAUUGAUUAAAUAGAUGAUGAUUAACAGAUUAAUAAAAGGUGAAAGUUACUAUCUAUGCAUUUUUUUCCAGUUUGAUGUUCAAAAACUUACCAAUGGAUGGGGAGUUGCUUUUCAUAAACAAUUUAUAAAGCACUGUCCUGGAUGAAAUUGUAAAAAGGACGUGGUGUCAAAGAUGACUCAGUGGAGUUGAGGUGAAAAAUGUGUAAUGAGCAAAUCAUGGUAAUUGGGAUAUCCAUCACCUCAAACCCUUAUCAUGUCUUUGUGUUGAGGACAUUUCAAAUCUUCCCUUCCAGCUAUUUUGAAAUAUACAACAAAUUAUUGUUAAGUGUAGCCACCCUAGUGUGCUACUGUACACUAGGACUUACUUAUUCCUUCUAUCUAACUGUAUUUUUGAACCCAUGAACCAACAUCUCUUUGAUUUCCAGCCUGGGCUUUGGUGUCCCUUUUUUUGUGUGUUUUCAUAGGGCCCUAUAUUUAUAUUAUUUGGGCUCAACACAUUGCAAAACUGCAGAGGAGUUUACUAUUAUGCACAUUAUUAUUCUAUAUUCUGUCACUCUAAGAAACAAUAAGUGACCAUCUGAAGAGACCAUCUUCUAGCACCAAAAUAUUUAAAGAUGAUUAAGAAUAAGACAAGGGUCUCCUUAUUUACAAAAUGACAUAAUUGAAAGGACUAGAUUAUUAGCAACCCCUCUGGAAAAGGAUUACUCUUUUGGAUUUUAAUUACAUAACUAAUAUAUCAACUGAAGUGCUAUGCCCUGACGUGUGCUCCCCUCAGCUUCACGAUCCAUAUGUUGAAACCCAACCCCUUAAUGUGAUGGCAUUUGGAGAUGGGGCUUUGGAGAUAUUAGUUAGGUUUAGAUAAGGUCAUGAGAAUGGGGCUCUUAUGAUGAGAUGAGCACCUUCAUAAAAAGAGACACGAGGUAUUUCUCUUUUCUCUCUUCUCUCUCUCCCUCUUUCCCUCCCUCCCUCUCUCCUCCUUCUCUGUCUUCCUCCUUUAUGUGAGGACAUAGCCAGAAGGCAGCUGUGUCUGCAAGCCAGGAAGAAAGCCCUCACCAGGAAUCAACUAUAUCAGCACCUUGAUCUUGAACUUCUAUCCUUAGAACAGAGAGAAAAUGAAUUUCUAUUCUUGAAGCCACCCAGCCUACGGUAUUUUGUUAUGGCAGUCAAGCUGAAUAAGAUAUAUAUCUACACUGAGACCAUUAAAAGUAGUUCCUGAUUGGCAGAAAGGUUGUAUAUAUAAAUGGCUCAUUGAAAGUUCUCACUGCAUGGAUGAGAAAUCUCAGAUUGAGGUUCUUAAAUUUUGAAAAAUAGAAAUAAAGGAAUUAACGCAACAGUCUUCUAAUCUUUCUGCCUUCAGUUUUUGCUCCCUUUGACUAUUCUCUGUACACUGCAUCCAGAGGUUAUAUUUUGACAGGGAAAUUCAAAUGAUGUAUAUUAUUUUUCUACUCAAAAUCUCCCCACUGGCACCCUAUUGUCCUAAAGCAUAAACUGCUAUUGCAGUCAAUUCACCUGAAAUAAGCUCUCUUCCUGCCGCGUCUUUUACAUAGAUUGUUUACUCCUCUUGUGAUCCCAGUUCCCUGCUUCUCCCUCUCCUCCACACUUUUCAAUAAUUAAAUUAUACUCAGCGUUCAGAAUUCAGUCAGGAUAUCCUACCUUCUUUGGUCAGCCCCCCAGGGUUUUCUGAAAGCUGGGAAGAGGCCCUCUUCUGCAAUCCCCAUGCACUGUAGACACAUCCCCUUUAGGUCCCUAUGUUGUGAGUGACUGUUUUCUUGUCUGUCUCUGCCACUAUAUUAUGCACUCUUAGAAGGCAAGGACUACUUCUCUUCAUUGUAUACCUAGAACUUAACCCAAAAACUGGCAUGUGCAUGCACCCAAGUUUUCACUGAGAAAAUAAUUGCAUGAGUCACUUGCUUUCCAGGUCUUUCUGACUACUAUGAUGGUGAUGACUUGUAGUCACAACAUGAAAUUGGUUUCUGCCCCUGAGGAUUGUAUCUCUCUACUUUGCAUGACCCCUAGAUUUCAAUCCCUCUUUAUUCUCUCCUGAUCCUUGGGUUCCAGUAAUUCUCUGGGUUUCAAAUAUAAGCACAGUGUGAGGAGCUCUUCAUUCUUGACAGAACUUUCAGGCAAGAAAGAAAUAGAUUCCUGGGAAUAUCUAUAUUCCCUCUGGCCCUAUUCCUUACUCCCAAAACAUAAUAACCCUUUUCUUAGGUUUUUUCUCUCUACCUUUUUACUUCUUCCUUAUUCUCACGAUUACAUGAAUUAACUGCCUACAGAGUAUGAAUUCAGACUGAAUUAAUAUGUAUUUAUGUGACAUAAAAGAUCUCUUUCAGUACUUCUUAAUCUUACCAAAUGAUGCAUACUAUACAAUAAAAAAUUGCAAUUUUUUCAUUAGCUUUUUUUUUUUUUUUUGGUUUCUGGUAGGGUUUUCCUUUAGUGGUAUUUUAGCAAGUAAUACAAUCCAGUUAUUUUUAAAAGUAUAUUAGUAGAAACUCACCAGAAGUCAAUAUACUGGUCCAAGAAUAAUUAACUGAUUGACUUUAUUGUUUAUGAAACUUUGUAAUGUUCCUUUUGAUGUGAAUGCUUAUCUUAGGGGGAAAUGCACUUUUCAAAUAUAAAUGAUCAUGUUUAAACAAACUGCUUCUAGUUUCAAAUAUGGCACUGAAAAACAAAAUAAAAUAAACACUCAAUUUUUAUUUAAAAUGGUGGGCAAUUUACUUUCUUUUUUGUUUGGGAUCUGAUUCAAGAGCCUCAAUUCAGCUUAUUGCAGAACUAACUAAACUAAACCUCAAAGGAAAA
RNAcentral lists this long non-coding RNA (8482 nucleotides) under Homo sapiens (human). RNAcentral describes it as "HSALNT0298322". The record is from RNAcentral. Lineage: Eukaryota; Metazoa; Chordata; Mammalia; Primates; Hominidae.